RNAcentral lists this ribosomal RNA (481 nucleotides) under uncultured bacterium. RNAcentral describes it as "bacterial SSU rRNA". It matches the Rfam family "Bacterial small subunit ribosomal RNA", at positions 28 to 524 of the family's 1533-position model. The record is from RNAcentral.
GACGAACGCUGGCGGCGUGCUUAACACAUGCAAGUCGAACGGUGACCCAGGGCUUGCCCUGGUGAUCGGUGGCGAACGGUGAGUAACACGUGGGCAACCUGCCCCUGACUUCGGGAUAACUCCUCGAAAGAGGAGCUAAUACCGGAUACGACCACUUCGGACAUCCGAUGGUGGUGGAAAGUUUUUCGGUCAAGGGAUGGGCCCGCGGCCUAUCAGCUAGUUGGUGGGGUAAUGGCCUACCAAGGCGACGACGGGUAGCCGGCCUGAGAGGGCGACCGGCCACACUGGGACUGAGACACGGCCCAGACUCCUACGGGAGGCAGCAGUGGGGAAUAUUGCGCAAUGGGCGAAAGCCUGACGCAGCGACGCCGCGUGAGGGAUGAAGGCCUCGGGUUGUAAACCUCUUACAGCAGGACGAAGCGAAAGUGACGGUACCUGCAGAAGAAGCACCGGCUAACUACGUGCCAGCAGCCGCGGUAAU